RNAcentral lists this unclassified non-coding RNA (341 nucleotides) under soil metagenome. RNAcentral's name for it is "partial contains 5.8S ribosomal RNA, internal transcribed spacer 2, and large subunit ribosomal RNA". The stretch from base 1 to 122 matches the Rfam family "5.8S ribosomal RNA", at positions 35 to 154 of the family's 154-position model. The record is from RNAcentral.
GAUGAAGAACGCAGCGAAAUGCGAUACUUGGUGUGAAUUGCAGAAUCCCGUGAACCAUCGAGUUUUUGAACGCAAGUUGCGCCCGAAGCCGUUAGGCUGAGGGCACGCCUGCCUGGGUGUCACACAUCGUUGCCCCAAUGCCAAUCGCCUCACUUUGUAGGUAUUUGCUUGGGGUGAAUGUUGGCCUCCCGUGAGCUUUGUCUCACGGUUGGUUGAAAAUCGAGUGCAUGGUGUCGGGUGUACCAUGAUGGAUGGUGGUUGAGUGAUGAUGCUCGAGACCAAUCAUGGGUAACUCCAGGCGGGGCUACCCGCUGAGUUUAAGCAUAUCAAUAAGCGGAGGA